UAAUACGUAGGGAGCAAGCGUUAUUCGGAUUUACUGGGCGUAAAGAGUGCGUAGGCGGUCAGGUAAGUCAAAGGUGAAAUCUCUGCUCUCAAGGCAGAAACUGCCUUUGAUACUGCUUGACUCGAGGACAGGAGAGGGAAGUGGAACUCUGGAAGUAGCGGUGAAAUGCGUAGAUAUCCAGGGGAACGCCAGUGGCGAAAGCGGCUUCCUAGUCUGUCCCUGACGCUGAGGCACGAAAGCUAGGGUAGCGAUCGGGAUUAGAGACCCCGGUAGUCCUAGCCGUAAACGAUGGGUACUAAGUGUGGGGGGAGCAUUACUCCCCGUGCUGAAGCUAACGUGUUAAGUACCCCGCCUGGGGAGUACGGUCGCAAGGCUG
RNAcentral lists this ribosomal RNA (376 nucleotides) under uncultured bacterium. Its description in RNAcentral is "bacterial SSU rRNA". It matches the Rfam family "Bacterial small subunit ribosomal RNA", at positions 521 to 896 of the family's 1533-position model. The record is from RNAcentral.